This is an RNA transcript of Otolemur garnettii (small-eared galago), 298 nucleotides long. It is a transcript of the gene named 60S ribosomal protein L36 pseudogene, with no coding region annotated. The record is from RefSeq and is a predicted model, not a curated record. Lineage: Eukaryota; Metazoa; Chordata; Mammalia; Primates; Galagidae. The transcript has a single exon.
CCUUCCGCCUCGGCAGCCAUUGGAGUUUCCAGCUGCUGUCGCAGCCAUGGCUCUGCGCUACCCCAUGGCCGUGGGUCUCAACAAGGGCCACAAGGUGACAAAGAACGUGAGCAAACCGAGGCACAGCCGCCGCCGCGGGCGUCUCACCAAACACACGAAGUUCGUGCGGGACAUGAUCCGAGAAGUGUGUGGUUUUGCCCCAUAUGAGCGGCGGGCCAUGGAGCUGCUCAAGGUCUCCAAGGACAAACGGGCCCUCAAGUUCAUCAAGAAAAGAGUGGGGACACACAUCCGUGCUAAG